GAUGAACGCUGGCGGCGUGCUUGAUACAUGCAAGUCGAACGGAGAGUGUAGCAAUAUACUUUUAGUGGCGAACGGGUGAGUAACGCGUUGGUGACCUGCCCCGAAGCGAGGGAUAACAGUUCGAAAGAACUGCUAAUACCUCAUGUGAUCACCGGUUUUAGAAUCUGGUGAUUAAAGGUGAAAAUCACUUCGGGAGGGGCCUGCGUCCCAUCAGCUAGUUGGUAAGGUAAUGGCUUACCAAGGCGAUGACGGGUAGGGGACCUGAGAGGGUGGCCCCCCACAAUGGAACUGAAACACGGUCCAUACACCUACGGGUGGCAGCAGUAGGGAAUAUUGCAAAUGGGCGAAAGCCUGAUGUAGCAACGCCGCGUGUGCGAUGAAGGUCUUCGGGAUUGUAAAGCACUUUUUGGAGGGAUGAGGAAGGACAGUACCUCCAGAAUAAGCCUCGGCUAACUACGUG
RNAcentral lists this ribosomal RNA (460 nucleotides) under uncultured bacterium. Its description in RNAcentral is "bacterial SSU rRNA". It matches the Rfam family "Bacterial small subunit ribosomal RNA", at positions 28 to 507 of the family's 1533-position model. The record is from RNAcentral.